RNAcentral lists this long non-coding RNA (600 nucleotides) under Sinocyclocheilus grahami. Its description in RNAcentral is "lncRNA (ENSSGRG00000001193.1)". Lineage: Eukaryota; Metazoa; Chordata; Actinopteri; Cypriniformes; Cyprinidae. The record is from RNAcentral.
UGCAAAGUAAUGCCAACCCUCCUGCGGUCCACAGGUGGUUCAAGAAGAGAGCAGAUGUAGAGGAAGAACUGGGCAUCUCACACGUGCUUUCCUUCACUGCGGCCCAAGAGAACACUGGGGAAUACAUUUGUGAGGCACAGAAUCAAUACGGUGCAAUGAACUCCACAAACCUACAGAUCACCGUCAUAGGCAUAUCCUUCACUGCUUUCCUCUCAAUUUUGACAGCUUUAUCAUUGCUCAUAUUUGCACUUCUUGCACUUCUUAUUCUUAUGAUUUGCAGGAGGUAGGAUCUUGCUAGAUUUCUUUUUUAAAUUAUGUGUCCUAUACAUUAUUGGAGAUAAUGUUUUCUUGUUUUGGUAUAUGCAGGUGGAAAGAGCCAGUCAGAAGUGUAAGUAUAUUUUCUGCCAUGGUAUGUUCUUCAUGAAGUUAUAACACAAUAGACGUUCAAAGAUCAUUUAUCAAUGCAUUUCAGGAAACAAGCCAAGAUCAGAACAUUUAUAGCAAUGUGUCCGCAAGUGCAGUGAAAAGCGAGCAGCUCCAAUCAAAGCCAUGUGAAGAUGAGAACACCAGCACCAUUAACCCUGAACACACGUUCAAACA